UGUACUGCUCCAUGGACGUCGGAGGAAUUUGCGAUAUGGCUACGUUUGUAGAAGGUUUAGUUUCCGUUGCGCUGCUCAGGAUGCUGAUAAGGAAAGCAAUGGAGAAGAACCUCCAGAAUCAUUAUUCAUGAAGGAACUGAAGAAGAGAGGUAUAACUCCCACUUCCUUGCUUGAGGAUACUAACAACGGUGACUUCAGACUCGGUGGCGAGAUGA
This 215-nucleotide unclassified non-coding RNA is filed under the name Hevea brasiliensis (rubber tree). The record is from RNAcentral. Lineage: Eukaryota; Viridiplantae; Streptophyta; Magnoliopsida; Malpighiales; Euphorbiaceae.